CAGGAAUCCAUGCCUUCUCUUCUCUUUCCACGCUCUCCUGGGGCUUUCAGGAUGCUGCGACGAAAUCUGCAGGAUUGCCAAGGUUUGAAAAAAAAAAAAAGCAACUUGGCUAUCAGGAUGUAUUUAGAGGAGAGAUUUCCGUGACUACUGAGACACAGAGAAACUUGGUGCCCAGAGAAGAAUGAGGGGAAACAAGAGCCUGCGUGUGUGUCCCAUGGUAAACAAUGAGGCCGGAAGCAUCCAUCUGGAAGGCAGUCAAAACAAACAACUGCCCGAUGAAAUGCUGGGGUCCCUGUGUUCUCAAAGAUUAAACCAGUUGGAAUAUCAUUUCAGUUUGAAUGAAAACAGAGCUCCUUCCCUGACAUGGAAAUUUUGAGAAACGCAAACUGGAGAGAUGGUCUGGGUGCACCUUUGAUGACCCACGGCAGAGAAAGAAGUAUUCAAGACACCUCAGUAACAGUGAUGAGUAACGAUGAGCAUCUUUUCAUGUGUCUGUUGGGCAUCCAGAUGUCUUUGGGGAAGUAUUUGUUCAUGUCUUCUGCCUAUUUUUUAAUUGGAUUAUUUGUCUUCUUA
This is a long non-coding RNA of Mustela lutreola (European mink), 573 nucleotides long. RefSeq lists it as uncharacterized. Lineage: Eukaryota; Metazoa; Chordata; Mammalia; Carnivora; Mustelidae. The record is from RefSeq and is a predicted model, not a curated record. The transcript is spliced from 3 exons.